UACAGAGGGGGCAAGCGUUGUUCGGAAUUACUGGGCGUAAAGGGCGCGUAGGCGGCCUUCUAAGUCGAACGUGAAAUCCCUGGGCUUAACCCAGGAACUGCGUCCGAGACUGGAAGGCUUGAAUCCGGGAGAGGGAUGCGGAAUUCCAGGUGUAGCGGUGAAAUGCGUAGAUAUCUGGAGGAACACCGGUGGCGAAGGCGGCAUCCUGGACCGGUAUUGACGCUGAGGCGCGAAAGCCAGGGGAGCGAACAGG
This 253-nucleotide ribosomal RNA is filed under the name uncultured bacterium. Its description in RNAcentral is "partial 16S ribosomal RNA". It matches the Rfam family "Bacterial small subunit ribosomal RNA", at positions 524 to 776 of the family's 1533-position model. The record is from RNAcentral.